UCUGAACAGCUCUACUAGAAGAAAGAGAGGGCGAUGGCAUUGGCUUUUGGCAAGCAGAGCAUCUUGGUGGUUGCCAUAUUUGUGGUACUAGGCGCGCUGGACCCUGGUUGGUGAAGGCGGAGGAUUGCCGGAAGGACAGAAGAGCUGGCAGCUGUCUGCGGCAAGUACUGCCUCAAAGAGAAGCCGCUUCCAUUUCCACCGUCCGCAAAUUGCUGCAGCAAGAUCAAGGCUGCCAACGUUGCCUGCGCCUGCCAAUAUGUCUCUCCCGCAGACGAGGAGGUCUACAACAUGAAAUUGGUUAACAGCCUCACCCGCAAGUGUGGCAAUCCCCUGCCUCUGCCUGUCGGAAUCAAAUGCGGAAGUUACUUCGUGCCCGAAGCUUGAAGACAGUGAAGGAGCUUCUUUCAUGAAUGGUUAUGUGUUUCUUUUGUGUGGAAUGAAGCACGUACCUAGAAUGUAUGUGCCUUGAUCUAUCAAGUGUGUACUCUAUCUAUGAUCUAAUAAAUAAAGCAAUGGGAGCAUUUCUAUUUGUACGAAUGUUGGGUGCUAUGGUUGUGGUUCAGUUUCAGACAUGGAGCUAGUCAAAGUGCUCCCCCUCCCACUUCCCCUA
RNA transcript from Nymphaea colorata (pocket water lily), 610 nucleotides. RefSeq lists it as uncharacterized. NCBI's taxonomy places the organism in Eukaryota, Viridiplantae, Streptophyta, Magnoliopsida, Nymphaeales, Nymphaeaceae. The transcript is spliced from 2 exons. The record is from RefSeq and is a predicted model, not a curated record.